Molecule: transfer RNA, 69 nt
Filed under: Circus melanoleucos (pied harrier)
Lineage: Eukaryota; Metazoa; Chordata; Aves; Accipitriformes; Accipitridae
Description: tRNA-His
Rfam family: tRNA
About the family: Transfer RNA (tRNA) molecules are approximately 80 nucleotides in length. Their secondary structure includes four short double-helical elements and three loops (D, anti-codon, and T loops).
Source: RNAcentral
GCAAGUAUAGUUUAACCCAAACAUUAGACCGUGACUCUAAAAAUAGAAGUUAGACCCUUCUUACCUGCC